CACCCAAUAGCUAGCCCCACCAACAAAAUACAACAAAUCAACACUUAUAAUCCCUAAGACCCUAAAAAAUAAAAACAAACCAUUUUUCCUCCUUAGUAUGGGUGACAGAAAAGCAACCUUGGGCGCAAUAGAGAAAGUACCGCAAGGGAACGCUGAAAGAGAAAUGAAAAACUCAGUAAAGUAAAAAAAAGCAAAGAUUAACCCUUGUACCUUUUGCAUCAUGAUUUAGCCAGAAACAUUUAAGCAAAGAGCACUUUAGUUUACCUCCCCGAAACUAAGUGAGCUACUCCAAGACAGUCUAAAAUAGGACGAACCCGUCUCUGUGGCAAAAGAGUGGGAAGAGCUUCGAGUAGAGGUGACAGACCUAUCGAACUUAGUUAUAGCUGGUUGCCUAAAAAAUGGAUAGAAGUUCAGCUUUUUGGUUUUCUCCUUUCCCUUUGGCCUCAAGCUUACAGCCGAUUUAUAUAAGAAACCAAAAAAGUUAUUUAACGGGGGUACAGCCCCUUUAAAUAAAGAUACAACUUUAAUAGACGGAUAAAGAUCAUAAUAAACAAAGCUAAGUAUUUCAGUGGGCCCAAAAGCAGCCACCUAAAAGAAAGCGUUAAAGCUCAAAUACGCCUCACAUCUCCUAAUUCAGAUAAUACAUCUUAUUCCACUGACUUUAUUAGGCUAUCCCAUGCCCGCAUGGGAGAAAUUAUGCUAAUAUGGUAAUAAAGGGGCCCCUCCCCCUCCCCCGCACAUGUGUAUAUCGGAACGGACCCGCCACCGAAAUUUAACGGCCCCAAAAAAAGAGGGUAAUGAACAAAAAACAGAAUACAAGAAAACCACCCAAAAACAACCGUUAACCCCACACUGGUGUGCAUAAAAGGAAAGACUAAAAGAAAAAGAAGGAACUCGGCAAACACAAGCCCCGCCUGUUUACCAAAAACAUCGCCUCUUGCAACCAAGAAUAAGAGGUCCCGCCUGCCCUGUGACAAGAAGUUUAACGGCCGCGGUACUUUGACCGUGCAAAGGUAGCGCAAUCACUUGUCUUUUAAAUGGAGACCUGUAUGAAUGGCAUAACGAAGGCUUAACUGUCUCCUUUUUCCAGUCAAUGAAAUUGAUCUCUCCGUGCAGAAGCGGAGAUAAAACCAUAAGACGAGAAGACCCUAUGGAGCUUUAGACACAAAGCAGACCUUUCCCACUAACAAGUCAACGAGAUGAACCAAAAAGAAUCCUGCCCUAAUGUCUUUGGUUGGGGCGACCGCGGAGCAUACAAAACCCCCGUGUGGAUCGAGUAUACUAUUCUUGCAACCAUGAGCGACAGCUCUAAUUAACAGAACUUCUGACCUCCAGACCCGGCAAUGCCGAUUUACGGACCGAGUUACCCUAGGGAUAACAGCGCAAUCCUCUUUUAGAGCCCAUAUCGACAAGGGGGUUUACGACCUCGAUGUUGGAUCAGGACAUCCUAAUGGUGCAGCCGCUAUUAAGGGUUCGUUUGUUCAACGAUUAAAGUCCU
RNAcentral lists this ribosomal RNA (1498 nucleotides) under Malpulutta kretseri (spotted gourami). Its description in RNAcentral is "partial 16S ribosomal RNA". It matches the Rfam family "Bacterial large subunit ribosomal RNA", at positions 338 to 2597 of the family's 2925-position model. Lineage: Eukaryota; Metazoa; Chordata; Actinopteri; Anabantiformes; Osphronemidae. The record is from RNAcentral.